GUUAAGCGACUAAGCGUACACGGUGGAUGCCCUGGCAGUCAGAGGCGAUGAAGGACGUGCUAAUCUGCGAUAAGCGUCGGUAAGGUGAUAUGAACCGUUAUAACCGGCGAUUUCCGAAUGGGGAAACCCAGUGUGUUUCGACACACUAUCAUUAACUGAAUCCAUAGGUUAAUGAGGCGAACCGGGGGAACUGAAACAUCUAAGUACCCCGAGGAAAAGAAAUCAACCGAGAUUCCCCCAGUAGCGGCGAGCGAACGGGGAGGAGCCCAGAGCCUGAAUCAGUGUGUGUGUUAGUGGAAGCGUCUGGAAAGGCGCGCGAUACAGGGUGACAGCCCCGUACACAAAAAUGCACAUGCUGUGAGCUCGAUGAGUAGGGCGGGACACGUGGUAUCCUGUCUGAAUAUGGGGGGACCAUCCUCCAAGGCUAAAUACUCCUGACUGACCGAUAGUGAACCAGUACCGUGAGGGAAAGGCGAAAAGAACCCCGGCGAGGGGAGUGAAAAAGAACCUGAAACCGUGUACGUACAAGCAGUGGGAGCACGCUUAGGCGUGUGACUGCGUACCUUUUGUAUAAUGGGUCAGCGACUUAUAUUCUGUAGCAAGGUUAACCGAAUAGGGGAGCCGAAGGGAAACCGAGUCUUAACUGGGCGUUAAGUUGCAGGGUAUAGACCCGAAACCCGGUGAUCUAGCCAUGGGCAGGUUGAAGGUUGGGUAACACUAACUGGAGGACCGAACCGACUAAUGUUGAAAAAUUAGCGGAUGACUUGUGGCUGGGGGUGAAAGGCCAAUCAAACCGGGAGAUAGCUGGUUCUCCCCGAAAGCUAUUUAGGUAGCGCCUCGUGAAUUCAUCUCCGGGGGUAGAGCACUGUUUCGGCAAGGGGGUCAUCCCGACUUACCAACCCGAUGCAAACUGCGAAUACCGGAGAAUGUUAUCACGGGAGACACACGGCGGGUGCUAACGUCCGUCGUGAAGAGGGAAACAACCCAGACCGCCAGCUAAGGUCCCAAAGUCAUGGUUAAGUGGGAAACGAUGUGGGAAGGCCCAGACAGCCAGGAUGUUGGCUUAGAAGCAGCCAUCAUUUAAAGAAAGCGUAAUAGCUCACUGGUCGAGUCGGCCUGCGCGGAAGAUGUAACGGGGCUAAACCAUGCACCGAAGCUGCGGCAGCGACGCUUAUGCGUUGUUGGGUAGGGGAGCGUUCUGUAAGCCUGUGAAGGUGUGCUGUGAGGCAUGCUGGAGGUAUCAGAAGUGCGAAUGCUGACAUAAGUAACGAUAAAGCGGGUGAAAAGCCCGCUCGCCGGAAGACCAAGGGUUCCUGUCCAACGUUAAUCGGGGCAGGGUGAGUCGACCCCUAAGGCGAGGCCGAAAGGCGUAGUCGAUGGGAAACAGGUUAAUAUUCCUGUACUUGGUGUUACUGCGAAGGGGGGACGGAGAAGGCUAUGUUGGCCGGGCGACGGUUGUCCCGGUUUAAGCGUGUAGGCUGGUUUUCCAGGCAAAUCCGGAAAAUCAAGGCUGAGGCGUGAUGACGAGGCACUACGGUGCUGAAGCAACAAAUGCCCUGCUUCCAGGAAAAGCCUCUAAGCAUCAGGUAACAUCAAAUCGUACCCCAAACCGACACAGGUGGUCAGGUAGAGAAUACCAAGGCGCUUGAGAGAACUCGGGUGAAGGAACUAGGCAAAAUGGUGCCGUAACUUCGGGAGAAGGCACGCUGAUAUGUAGGUGAAGCGACUUGCUCGUGGAGCUGAAAUCAGUCGAAGAUACCAGCUGGCUGCAACUGUUUAUUAAAAACACAGCACUGUGCAAACACGAAAGUGGACGUAUACGGUGUGACGCCUGCCCGGUGCCGGAAGGUUAAUUGAUGGGGUCAGCGCAAGCGAAGCUCUUGAUCGAAGCCCCGGUAAACGGCGGCCGUAACUAUAACGGUCCUAAGGUAGCGAAAUUCCUUGUCGGGUAAGUUCCGACCUGCACGAAUGGCGUAAUGAUGGCCAGGCUGUCUCCACCCGAGACUCAGUGAAAUUGAACUCGCUGUGAAGAUGCAGUGUACCCGCGGCAAGACGGAAAGACCCCGUGAACCUUUACUAUAGCUUGACACUGAACAUUGAGCCUUGAUGUGUAGGAUAGGUGGGAGGCUUUGAAGUGUGGACGCCAGUCUGCAUGGAGCCGACCUUGAAAUACCACCCUUUAAUGUUUGAUGUUCUAACGUUGACCCGUAAUCCGGGUUGCGGACAGUGUCUGGUGGGUAGUUUGACUGGGGCGGUCUCCUCCUAAAGAGUAACGGAGGAGCACGAAGGUUGGCUAAUCCUGGUCGGACAUCAGGAGGUUAGUGCAAUGGCAUAAGCCAGCUUGACUGCGAGCGUGACGGCGCGAGCAGGUGCGAAAGCAGGUCAUAGUGAUCCGGUGGUUCUGAAUGGAAGGGCCAUCGCUCAACGGAUAAAAGGUACUCCGGGGAUAACAGGCUGAUACCGCCCAAGAGUUCAUAUCGACGGCGGUGUUUGGCACCUCGAUGUCGGCUCAUCACAUCCUGGGGCUGAAGUAGGUCCCAAGGGUAUGGCUGUUCGCCAUUUAAAGUGGUACGCGAGCUGGGUUUAGAACGUCGUGAGACAGUUCGGUCCCUAUCUGCCGUGGGCGCUGGAGAACUGAGGGGGGCUGCUCCUAGUACGAGAGGACCGGAGUGGACGCAUCACUGGUGUUCGGGUUGUCAUGCCAAUGGCACUGCCCGGUAGCUAAAUGCGGAAGAGAUAAGUGCUGAAAGCAUCUAAGCACGAAACUUGCCCCGAGAUGAGUUCUCCCUGACCCUUUAAGGG
This 2802-nucleotide ribosomal RNA is filed under the name Escherichia coli. Its description in RNAcentral is "partial 23S ribosomal RNA". It matches the Rfam family "Bacterial large subunit ribosomal RNA". Lineage: Bacteria; Pseudomonadati; Pseudomonadota; Gammaproteobacteria; Enterobacterales; Enterobacteriaceae. The record is from RNAcentral.